CGACGUGAGUAACCUGCCUUGGAGUGGGGAAUAACAGCUGGAAACAGCUGCUAAUACCGCAUAAUAUAUCUGGGUCGCAUGGCUCUGGAUAUCAAAGAUUUAUCGCUCUGAGAUGGACUCGCGUCUGAUUAGCUGGUUGGCGGGGUAACGGCCCACCAAGGCGACGAUCAGUAGCCGGACUGAGAGGUUGGCCGGCCACAUUGGGACUGAGACACGGCCCAGACUCCUACGGGAGGCAGCAG
Molecule: ribosomal RNA, 242 nt
Filed under: uncultured bacterium
Lineage: Bacteria
Description: partial 16S ribosomal RNA
Rfam family: Bacterial small subunit ribosomal RNA
Source: RNAcentral